UUUCUUUCUUUCUAUUAUAUACAAUAUAAUUUAUAGCACAUGAUCGUUACAAUGGUAUGAAAUUGUAAAAUACUACUAUUCAAGAAUGUCUAAAUAUUUCCAUAAAAAGCCAGAAUGACAGUUUGACAGUCGUAUCAUAUAACCAACAUACGAGGAUACAAGUGAAGCAAGUCAUAGUGCACGAAAUGCUCGACAACCAACAACCAAUCGGCAUCACGAUAAAAAGGCAACAAUACAUUCGAGAUAUUGCGAGAAUACAUAACAUGUCUAAAAAAAUUAAACAAGAUAAUAAACUGAAAUAUUCAAAAUUAGAAGAAACGGAGGAAUUAACACGCUUCAAUAAAUCGAUU
This is a non-coding RNA of Nylanderia fulva, 350 nucleotides long. Lineage: Eukaryota; Metazoa; Arthropoda; Insecta; Hymenoptera; Formicidae. The record is from RefSeq and is a predicted model, not a curated record.